AGAGCGAACGCUGGCGGCGCGCCUAAAACAUGCAAGUCGAACGAGAAACCCGGGCUUGCCCGGGUGGACAGUGGCGAACGGGUGAGUAACACGUGAGGAACCUGCCCCGAAGACCGGGACAACACCGGGAAACCGGUGCUAAUACCGGAUACCUUCACCGGAUCGCAUGGUCUGGUGAAGAAAUGGAUUCCGCUUCGGGAUGGCCUCGCGGCCUAUCAGCUAGUUGGUGAGGUAACGGCUCACCAAGGCGACGACGGGUAGCUGGUCUGAGAGGAUGUCCAGCCACACUGGGACUGAGACACGGCCCAGACUCCUACGGGAGGCAGCAGUUAGGAAUCUUGCGCAAUGGACGAAAGUCUGACGCAGCGACGCCGCGUGCGGGAUGAAGGCCUUCGGGUUGUAAACCGCUUUCAGCAGGGACGAAUUGACGGUACCUGCAGAAGAACGCCCCGGCCAACUACGCGCCAGCCAGCCGC
Molecule: ribosomal RNA, 476 nt
Filed under: uncultured bacterium
Lineage: Bacteria
Description: SSU rRNA
Rfam family: Bacterial small subunit ribosomal RNA
Source: RNAcentral